UCCCUGGUAGUAUAUCGGUUAGUACACGCGCCUGUCAUUUUCGAACGUGCGCGCGAAAGCGGGGUUCGACUCCCCGCCAGGGAG
RNAcentral lists this transfer RNA (84 nucleotides) under Phlebiopsis gigantea 11061_1 CR5-6. RNAcentral's name for it is "tRNA-Asp". It matches the Rfam family "tRNA". Rfam says of the family: Transfer RNA (tRNA) molecules are approximately 80 nucleotides in length. The record is from RNAcentral. Lineage: Eukaryota; Fungi; Basidiomycota; Agaricomycetes; Polyporales; Phanerochaetaceae.